AUGAGGUCAAGCAUAGAUCGCGGGGGUACUUCGGCAAGCUGUUCAAUGGAGAGGAUGAGAGCUCUAACAUUGAGUUGGAUGACUCCUUUGAAGAUACCAGCAAGUGCUUUGUGCGACAAAUCCAGAAGUCUUAAGGUCAAGGAGGCUUUAAAAAGGAUGAAAAGAGGCAACACGAUGGGCCCUGGUUGUAUCGCCAUUGAGGUGUGGAGAGGCCUCGAAGACAUAGAGAUAGUAUGGCUGAAUAGGCUUUUGAAUCUCAUUUUUUCGGGCAAACAAGAUGCCAAAAGAAUGGAGGUGGAGUAUAUCAAUACCAAUCUUCAAAAACAAGGGGGAUGUUAA
Molecule: ribosomal RNA, 339 nt
Filed under: Triticum aestivum (bread wheat)
Lineage: Eukaryota; Viridiplantae; Streptophyta; Magnoliopsida; Poales; Poaceae
Description: partial small subunit ribosomal RNA
Source: RNAcentral